UGGACAUGUGCAACAGCCAUGCUUUCCUCUCCAGAAGCCGGGGAACCUCAGCAAGAUCAGAACAGAAGGAAACUGAAGAGAGGAGCCAUAUUCACUAUUUCUUCUCUGCUCCUCCCAGCGAUGCUGCAGAGAGCCAGGAGUCUGGUCAACAUCCUGCCUCUGACUGCAGAGUUGUGUGCAGCACCAGUCACACUUGAGACCCAGUCACACCCUCUGUUCAAGAUGGCUAUGAGUCCCAGAGAGAAAUAGAGAAGUGAAGAAAUCUCCAUUACUUUACCCUACUGCCACUAUGAGAUUCUGCUCAAACACAGGACCAGGAAUCCAUAGACCAUCGGAGACCAUGAACCCAAAGAAGUUCUUCCCUUCAGUUGUCUCUGCCUUGUGUUGGACCUCAGCGAUGAGAAAGUGAUGAAACACAUUGAAAUAAGGACACAAAUGUUAGUGUCUGAUGACAUGUUCUCUGAGAGUACCGGAAUUCCACAUAAGGGCUUUAGCCUGGACCUGCAGAGGUCACAGGAGGUCCUACAAGGUUGUUUCAGUGCAUUCACAGGGACAUGUGCAUGCCUGUGUGUAUAUGUCUUUCCACGUAUGCACGUGAGGGUCCCUCAGACAGCACAGGCUCCUUGGAAGUUGCCAUUGUGUAAAUCCCAGAGCCCAGCUUGUCUUGACCAUCGCAAACACCUGAGCAUCUACAGUGUAGACCCACAUGUUCUGAAACCACGCCAUUAUCUGACUCUACCUGUCUUGAUCCACCCUGAGUUACAGAAUGAAUUUGUUGUUGAAUUUUAAUGCCAGUCACUAUUAUUUAAUUUAUACCAAGUAAUUCCGGAAAGAAAAAAGAUGCCUGUCCAAAGAGGUGUAAAUCUGAUACCUGACUGAUCUUUUAAG
Long non-coding RNA from Mus caroli (Ryukyu mouse), 888 nucleotides. RefSeq lists it as uncharacterized. NCBI's taxonomy places the organism in Eukaryota, Metazoa, Chordata, Mammalia, Rodentia, Muridae. The record is from RefSeq and is a predicted model, not a curated record.